Molecule: ribosomal RNA, 978 nt
Filed under: Adelonema allenii
Lineage: Eukaryota; Viridiplantae; Streptophyta; Magnoliopsida; Alismatales; Araceae
Description: eukaryotic LSU rRNA
Rfam family: 5.8S ribosomal RNA (bases 439-594)
Source: RNAcentral
GCGAGAAGUCCACUGAACCUUAUCAUUUAGAGGAAGGAGAAGUCGUAACAAGGUUUCCGUAGGUGAACCUGCGGAAGGAUCAUUGUCGCAUAGCAUUUUCGUCUCGAACGGAAUCCGAUCCGACACACCCCCGAAUUGUUGACCCCGAUCCUCCUUUAAAAUUCGCCGGCUGGGGAGGAGGUAGACAAACAAAUGCUCUGCCUCGGCAGACGGCGGUCGGCCAUUCUUGGCUAUGUCUACGUCGGACCGUCUGUUCGUCGGGCCUCCUCUACCCCUCUGUGCGCUCUCCCUCCCCAUGCGUUGGCUGUGGGGCGGCGGUACAAUGAACCUACUGGCGCGGCCUGUGCCAAGGAUCACAGAAUGGGGAGCGCCCGUGCGUGUGCCUUGCUACGAGUGGGGUGGCGUGCAGUGUUGGUCUCCAUGAACGAGUCUCGGAACGACUCUUGGCAACGGAUAUCUAGGCUCUUGCAUCGAUGAAGAACGUAGCGAAAUGCGAUAUGUGGUGUGAAUUGCAGAAUCCCGCGAACCAUCGAAUCUUCGAAUGCAAGUUGCGCCCGAGGCCGUCGGGCCGAGGGCACGCCUGCUUGGGCGUCACGCCCCGUGUCGCUCCCCCCUCACCCUGCCGGUGGCGUCCACUCGCACAGUGCGGCGGACGAGGACGAGGAUGCGGAGAUUGGCCUGUCGUGCUUUGGUGCGGCUGGCUGAAGACGCUCGGUCCCCUCACGGAGUGAGCACGGCGAGCGGUGGAUGAAUUCUGCGCUGCGGGCAGUACGAGUCGUAUGUGCUCAUCGUCGUCGUGCCUGCCGCCGUCGAAUGGAGGGGAACGGCGUGUGGAGUGCCGCUUUCCUGCCGCAAAGUGGAAGGGAGGAAGAAGGAAAGUUACUCUGCGAAAGAACCCAUCGGUGAGGCGACGCACGUCGUUGCUCGUGCUGCAACCCCAGGUCAGGCGGGGCCACCCGCCGAGUUUAAGCAUAUAUA